RNAcentral lists this ribosomal RNA (1481 nucleotides) under Microbacterium oleivorans. RNAcentral describes it as "bacterial SSU rRNA". It matches the Rfam family "Bacterial small subunit ribosomal RNA". Lineage: Bacteria; Bacillati; Actinomycetota; Actinomycetes; Micrococcales; Microbacteriaceae. The record is from RNAcentral.
AGAGUUUGAUCAUGGCUCAGGAUGAACGCUGGCGGCGUGCUCAACACAUGCAAGUCGAACGGUGAAGCAGAGCUUGCUCUGUGGAUCAGUGGCGAACGGGUGAGUAACACGUGAGCAACCUGCCCCUGACUCUGGGAUAAGCGCUGGAAACGGCGUCUAAUACUGGAUAUGAGCUGCGACCGCAAGGUCAGCAGUUGGAAAGAUUUUUCGGUCUGGGAUGGGCUCACGGCCUAUCAGCUUGUUGGUGAGGUAAUGGCUCACCAAGGCGUCGACGGGUAGCCGGCCUGAGAGGGUGACCGGCCACACUGGGACUGAGACACGGCCCAGACUCCUACGGGAGGCAGCAGUGGGGAAUAUUGCACAAUGGGCGAAAGCCUGAUGCAGCAACGCCGCGUGAGGGAUGACGGCCUUCGGGUUGUAAACCUCUUUUAGCAGGGAAGAAGCGAAAGUGACGGUACCUGCAGAAAAAGCGCCGGCUAACUACGUGCCAGCAGCCGCGGUAAUACGUAGGGCGCAAGCGUUAUCCGGAAUUAUUGGGCGUAAAGAGCUCGUAGGCGGUUUGUCGCGUCUGCUGUGAAAUCCCGAGGCUCAACCUCGGGUCCGCAGUGGGUACGGGCAGACUAGAGUGCGGUAGGGGAGAUUGGAAUUCCUGGUGUAGCGGUGGAAUGCGCAGAUAUCAGGAGGAACACCGAUGGCGAAGGCAGAUCUCUGGGCCGUUACUGACGCUGAGGAGCGAAAGGGUGGGGAGCAAACAGGCUUAGAUACCCUGGUAGUCCACCCCGUAAACGUUGGGAACUAGUUGUGGGGUCCAUUCCACGGAUUCCGUGACGCAGCUAACGCAUUAAGUUCCCCGCCUGGGGAGUACGGCCGCAAGGCUAAAACUCAAAGGAAUUGACGGGGACCCGCACAAGCGGCGGAGCAUGCGGAUUAAUUCGAUGCAACGCGAAGAACCUUACCAAGGCUUGACAUAUACGAGAACGGGCCAGAAAUGGUCAACUCUUUGGACACUCGUAAACAGGUGGUGCAUGGUUGUCGUCAGCUCGUGUCGUGAGAUGUUGGGUUAAGUCCCGCAACGAGCGCAACCCUCGUUCUAUGUUGCCAGCACGUAAUGGUGGGAACUCAUGGGAUACUGCCGGGGUCAACUCGGAGGAAGGUGGGGAUGACGUCAAAUCAUCAUGCCCCUUAUGUCUUGGGCUUCACGCAUGCUACAAUGGCCGGUACAAAGGGCUGCAAUACCGCGAGGUGGAGCGAAUCCCAAAAAGCCGGUCCCAGUUCGGAUUGAGGUCUGCAACUCGACCUCAUGAAGUCGGAGUCGCUAGUAAUCGCAGAUCAGCAACGCUGCGGUGAAUACGUUCCCGGGUCUUGUACACACCGCCCGUCAAGUCAUGAAAGUCGGUAACACCUGAAGCCGGUGGCCCAACCCUUGUGGAGGGAGCCGUCGAAGGUGGGAUCGGUAAUUAGGACUAAGUCGUAACAAGGUA